Molecule: small RNA, 565 nt
Filed under: Pongo abelii (Sumatran orangutan)
Lineage: Eukaryota; Metazoa; Chordata; Mammalia; Primates; Hominidae
Description: retained intron
Source: RNAcentral
GUGUCGUGCCGCUGGGUUCUGAGCCGGGGUGGUCGGUGGGUGGGAUGGAGGCGACCUUGGAGCAGCACUUGGAAGACACAAUGAAGAAUCCCUCCAUUGUUGGAGUCCUGUGCACAGAUUCACAAGGACUUAAUCUGGGUUGCCGUGGGACCCUGUCAGAUGAGCAUGCUGGAGUGAUAUCUGUUCUAGCCCAGCAAGCAGCUAAGCUAACCUCUGACCCCACUGAUAUUCCUGUGGUGUGUCUAGAAUCAGAUAAUGGGUGAGUAGAUUUCAGCAGAUCCUUUCCUUUUUGUUCAGAAAAAUUCCUGGUAAAAUUGGUGGGGGCCGGCCCUGUGUUCAUCAGUGAUUCCUUAUUCAGACUACUUUGGGAAAAGUUCUUAUCUUUUGGACCACAGGAACAGACAAGUUGAUCCCUAAAGCUAAUGUGCUCUCAGGCCACAAUGCUAUUUAAAUGAAGAAUAAGAAUUGGCAGAAGCUAUCAGUUUACCAACAAAAAGGAAGUAAUAGCACAAAGGAAAACUAAUCAGAGAAUAAAAAUUACUUUUUUUUUUUUUUCUUUUUGAGG